UCUCCAAAAAAAUACAUACACAUAUAAUCUUGCAUAUCAUUUCCAGGUGCUCACAGAUUCCCUAAAAGAUCUAUGAGAAACUAUGUCCAGAUUCCAGGUACCCAUGGGUUCCAGAUUAAGGACUCCUGAUCUAGAAUAUAUCCAGGCCAACAAGCAUCAGAGGUGUUCUGGAAGUGAGGUUCAUCCUGAACCUCAUACUGAGCUGUCUGUCCCUAGACAAUAAAUAUCACAUUUCAAAGUAAGAGGCAAGGAAGGCCACCAGUCAGAAUAUGCAUGGGACUUGCUUAAGAAUUGAUAUUUAACCCUUUGCUAACUACCCACCCUCAGCUUACAAAGAACUAGGGGGACUGAAAACAAGACACAGAAGACUGUGAAAUCCAGGAGAGCUGGUUUAGUCCUGGCUGCAACCCAUCUAACAAUGGGAACUUUAGGCAAGCCCUUUAACCUCUCUGAAGCUUGUUUUUCUAUUAUGUAAAAUAGAUACAAUAAUGCCUACCUCAAUGUGAGGCAGUGAAGUGCU
RNAcentral lists this long non-coding RNA (520 nucleotides) under Pan troglodytes (chimpanzee). Its description in RNAcentral is "long non-coding RNA NONPTRT016725". Lineage: Eukaryota; Metazoa; Chordata; Mammalia; Primates; Hominidae. The record is from RNAcentral.